Molecule: long non-coding RNA, 690 nt
Filed under: Rattus norvegicus (Norway rat)
Lineage: Eukaryota; Metazoa; Chordata; Mammalia; Rodentia; Muridae
Description: long non-coding RNA NONRATT004593
Source: RNAcentral
CAAGGCAAAAGCAGCCCCUCCUCCGUACAACAUUUGUAGUUAUGCCUUGUCUGGGCGUUCCCCAGGGCCUCUGGGCUAGGGGCUGACUGUUCCCCAGCAUAACAUGUGCCUUGGAUGCUGAGGCUGGGAGUUCACAGUGUCACCCUGGGAACAGACUCCACGUUUCACUUCAGGGAGCCCAUCGACAGAGGUGGAUCAAGUCUGGGCAGGGAACACUGCCUUUUGUGUGUUUUCUAGGCCUGGACCCUCUAACUCAGGGCACAUGGAGGCCCUACCCACAAGCAUAAAGGCUGAGGCGCAGGCCCCGCCCUCUGCUCUCCUGCAGGCUGAGGGAAACUAGAGGGGCUGCAUUUAUUAAAGUCUGCAAAGCUGCGCCCUGGAUUUACUCUUUGCCCAGUUCCUGGCACUCUCAGCAAGGAUCCAGGCUGGCGGCCCUCUAGGAGGCCCUAAGUAGGACCACAGUUAGCCCCCUUAGUGGGGUCCAGAGCCAUCCUGGGAAGAAAGGAUAGGAAGCCAUUCCCAUUUGCAGCAUUCUGUCUGAGCAGGUGGACAAAGAUUGUGCCUGAGGCACGGGCCACCCUCAGGUGCCAUAGCAGCUCAGGGGAUGACAUAAGGCCAAGAGGGAAGAAACCUAGUCAUUUUGGCUAUCCUGAAACCCAUCAGAAGGAAUAAAGCAGGCCGGAAGCCCCA